This 146-nucleotide unclassified non-coding RNA is filed under the name soil metagenome. Its description in RNAcentral is "partial internal transcribed spacer 1". The record is from RNAcentral.
UAAUAAGUGUUUUAUGGCACUUUUUAAAUCCAUAUCCACCUUGUGUGCAAUGUCGGUCGAUCUUCUUUUUUGAGGAUCGACCAAACAUCAACCCUUAUUUUUUAACUCUUUGUCUGAAAAAUAUUAUGAAUAAACAAUUCAAAAUA